AGAGUUUGAUCCUGGCUCAGAGCGAACGCUGGCGGCGUGCUUAACACAUGCAAGUCGAGGGAGAACGGAAGGCUUCGGCCUUCUUAGUAAACCGGCGCACGGGUGAGUAACACGUAGGUAACCUACCCCCGAGCUCGGGAUAACCUGUCGAAAGAUAGGCUAAUACCGGAUGAGACCACGUUGGUUUCGGCCAAUGCGGUCAAAGAUGGCCUCUAUUUAUAAGCUAUCACUCGAGGAUGGGCCUGCGCACCAUUAGCUAGUUGGUGAGGUAACGGCUCACCAAGGCUACGAUGGUUAGUUGGUCUGAGAGGAUGACCAGCCACACUGGGACUGAGACACGGCCCAGACUCCUACGGGAGGCAGCAGUGGGGAAUAUUGCGCAAUGGGGGAAACCCUGACGCAGCGACGCCGCGUGGGUGAUGAAGGCCUUCGGGUCGUAAAGCCCUGUCGGAGGGGAAGAAGGACUGUCGUGCAAAUAGUGCGAUGGUUUGACGGUACCCUUAGAGGAAGCACCGGCUAACUCCGUGCCAGCAGCCGCGGUAAUACGGAGGGUGCAAGCGUUGCUCGGAAUUACUGGGCGUAAAGGGCGUGUAGGCGGUUUCGUAUGUCUGGCGUGAAAGCCCCGGGCUCACCUCGGGAAGUGCGUCGGAAACUGCGAGACUAGAGUCCCGGAGAGGGAGGUAGAAUUCCAGGUGUAGCGGUGAAAUGCGUAGAUAUCUGGAAGAACACCGGUGGCGAAAGCGGCCUCCUGGACGGUGACUGACGCUGAGACGCGAAAGCGUGGGGAGCAAACAGGAUUAGAUACCCUGGUAGUCC
Molecule: ribosomal RNA, 816 nt
Filed under: uncultured bacterium
Lineage: Bacteria
Description: bacterial SSU rRNA
Rfam family: Bacterial small subunit ribosomal RNA
Source: RNAcentral